GAUGAAGAACGUAGCGAAAUGCGAUAACUAAUGUGAAUUGCAGAAUUCAGUGAAUCAUCGAGUCUUUGAACGCACAUUGCGCCCCCUGGUAUUCCGGGGGGCAUGCCUGUCCGAGCGUCAUUACAACCCUCAAGCUCAGCUUGGUAUUGGGCCCCGCCGACCCGGCGGGCCCUAAAGUCAGUGGCGGUGCCGUCCGGCUCCGAGCGUAGUAAUUCUUCUCGCUCUGGAGGUCCGGUCGUGUGCUCGCCAGCAACCCCCAAUUUUUUUCAGGUUGACCUCGGAUCAGGUAGGGAUACCCGCUGAACUUAAGCAUAUCAAUAAGCGGAGGA
Molecule: unclassified non-coding RNA, 329 nt
Filed under: soil metagenome
Description: partial contains 5.8S ribosomal RNA, internal transcribed spacer 2, and large subunit ribosomal RNA
Rfam family: 5.8S ribosomal RNA (bases 1-120)
Source: RNAcentral